RNAcentral lists this unclassified non-coding RNA (410 nucleotides) under Hevea brasiliensis (rubber tree). The record is from RNAcentral. Lineage: Eukaryota; Viridiplantae; Streptophyta; Magnoliopsida; Malpighiales; Euphorbiaceae.
UUAUAACUCUUGAGGUUCCUCUAAUUCAUUCCCUCUCUUUCUCUGUCUUCUCUUCUCCUAUCACUUUCUGUUCUCUGAGAGAAAAUGGCGGUCAGUUCUAGAGCAAGAAACACAGAGUUGCUUCAGAUUCCCAGGAAGUUCAAGGACAGAGAAACCACUCCUGAGAGAACCAGAGUCUGGGUUGAACCUAAACCCAAAAAGGGUACUGAGAGAAAAGUCCCUGUUGUUUAUUAUCUUUCUAGAAAUGGCCACCUUGAGCAUCCCCAUUUCAUGGAGGUCCCUCUCUCUUCCACCGAAGGUCUCUACCUAAGAGAUGUCAUCAACCGCUUGAACAUCCUUCGAGGUAAAGGCAUGGCUAGCCUCUACUCAUGGUCCUCUAAAAGGAGCUACAAGAACGGCUUCGUUUGGCA